This 301-nucleotide ribosomal RNA is filed under the name uncultured bacterium. RNAcentral describes it as "partial 16S ribosomal RNA". It matches the Rfam family "Bacterial small subunit ribosomal RNA", at positions 509 to 807 of the family's 1533-position model. The record is from RNAcentral.
CAGUCGCCGCGGGAAUACGUAGGGUGCAAGCGUUAAUCGGAAUUACUGGGCGUAAAGCGUGCGCAGGCGGUUUGUUAAGACAGAUGUGAAAUCCCCGGGCUCAACCUGGGAACUGCAUUUGUGACUGGCAAGCUAGAGUAUGGCAGAGGGGGGUGGAAUUCCGCGUGUAGCAGUGAAAUGCGUAGAGAUGUGGAGGAAUACCGAUGGCGAAGGCAGCCCCCUGGGCCAAUACUGACGCUCAUGCACGAAAGCUAGGGGAGCAAACAGGAUUAGAUACCCGGGUAGUCCCUGUCUCUUAUAC